RNAcentral lists this ribosomal RNA (288 nucleotides) under Staphylococcus aureus. RNAcentral describes it as "partial 23S ribosomal RNA". It matches the Rfam family "Bacterial large subunit ribosomal RNA", at positions 2121 to 2408 of the family's 2925-position model. Lineage: Bacteria; Bacillati; Bacillota; Bacilli; Caryophanales; Staphylococcaceae. The record is from RNAcentral.
AAUUCGGCACAGAUUGUACAGGAUAUGUAUGAGCCUUUGCAACGUGAGCGAUAGCUUUCGAGGAGGCGCUGGUGGGAUACUACACUAGCUGUGUUGGCUUUCUAACCCGCACCACUUAUCGUGGUGGGAGACAGUGUCAGGCGGGCAGAUUGACUGGGGCGGUCGCCUCCUAAAAGGUAACGGAGGCGCUCAAAGGUUCCCUCAGAAUGGUUGGAAAUCAUUCAAAGAGUGUAAAGGCAUAAGGGAGCAUGACUGCGAGACCUACAAGUCGAGCAGGGUCGAAAGACG